GCGGGUAUGGUUUAGUGGUAAAAUGCGUCCUUCCCAAGGAUGAGUCACGGGUUCGAUUCCCGUUACCCGCUCCA
Molecule: transfer RNA, 74 nt
Filed under: bacterium
Lineage: Bacteria
Also listed under: 2 other names
Description: tRNA-Gly
Rfam family: tRNA
About the family: Transfer RNA (tRNA) molecules are approximately 80 nucleotides in length. Their secondary structure includes four short double-helical elements and three loops (D, anti-codon, and T loops).
Source: RNAcentral